This 503-nucleotide ribosomal RNA is filed under the name uncultured bacterium. RNAcentral's name for it is "partial 16S ribosomal RNA". It matches the Rfam family "Bacterial small subunit ribosomal RNA", at positions 28 to 523 of the family's 1533-position model. The record is from RNAcentral.
GAUGAACGCUAGCGGCAGGCCUAACACAUGCAAGUCGAGGGGUAGCGGGAUUAAGCUUGCUUAAUUGCUGACGACCGGCGCACGGGUGCGUAACGCGUAUGCAACCUACCUUAUACUGGGGUAUAGCCCGGAGAAAUUCGGAUUAAUCCCCCAUAGUACUAAUGAAUCGCAUGGUUUAUUAGUUAAAGCAUUGCGGUAUAAGAUGGGCAUGCGUCCUAUUAGCUAGAUGGUGAGGUAACGGCUCACCAUGGCUACGAUAGGUAGGGGGCCUGAGAGGGUGGACCCCCACACUGGUACUGAGAAACGGACCAGACUACUACGGGAGGCAGCAGUGAGGAAUAUUGGUCAAGGGGCGCAAGCCUGAACCAGCCAUGCCGCGUGCAGGAAGAAUGCCCUAUGGGUUGUAAACUGCUUUUAUUUGGGAAUAAACCUCUUUACGUGUAGAGAGCUGAAGGUACCAAAUGAAUAAGCACCGGCUAACUCCGUGCCAGCCGCCGCCGUAA